This 380-nucleotide ribosomal RNA is filed under the name uncultured cyanobacterium. RNAcentral describes it as "bacterial SSU rRNA". It matches the Rfam family "Bacterial small subunit ribosomal RNA", at positions 376 to 770 of the family's 1533-position model. The record is from RNAcentral. Lineage: Bacteria; Bacillati; Cyanobacteriota.
CGAAAGCCUGACGGAGCAAUACCGCGUGAGGGAGGAAGGCUCUUGGGUUGUAAACCUCUUUUCUCAGGGAAGAACACAAUGACGGUACCUGAGGAAUAAGCAUCGGCUAACUCCGUGCCAGCAGCCGCGGUAAUACGGAGGAUGCAAGCGUUAUCCGGAAUGAUUGGGCGUAAAGCGUCCGCAGGUGGCUAUGAAAGUCUGCUGUUAAAGAGUGAGGCUCAACCUCAUAAGAGCAGUGGAAACUACAUGGCUAGAGUGCGUUCGGGGUAGAGGGAAUUCCUGGUGUAGCGGUGAAAUGCGUAGAUAUCAGGAAGAACACCGGUGGCGAAAGCGCUCUGCUAGGCCGCAACUGACACUGAGGGACGAAAGCUAGGGGAGCG